This 301-nucleotide ribosomal RNA is filed under the name uncultured bacterium. RNAcentral describes it as "partial 16S ribosomal RNA". It matches the Rfam family "Bacterial small subunit ribosomal RNA", at positions 509 to 807 of the family's 1533-position model. The record is from RNAcentral.
CAGUCGCCACGGUAAAACGGAGGGGGCUAGCGUUGUUCGGAAUUACUGGGCGUAAAGCGUACGUAGGCGGCUUUGUAAGUUAGAGGUGAAAGCCCAGGGCUCAACCUUGGAAUUGCCUUUGAUACUGGCUAUCUUGAGUUCGGAAGAGGUAAGUGGAAUGCCGAGUGUAGAGGUGAAAUUCGUAGAUAUUCGGCGGAACACCAGUGGCGAAGGCGACUUACUGGUCCGAUACUGACGCUGAGGCGCGAAAGCGUGGGGAGCAAACAGGAUUAGAUACCCCCGUAGUCCCUGUCUCUUAUAC